CAAGUGACAACCACAUGCACACCAAGACACAGCACAUAACAUCAUAGAAAUAAAUCGAACGUUCCUGGCGAUGACCUCGCUUUUAUCAAAAGCUCAUUUAAGAUGACAUCUGACCCCGACGACUAUUUUUCCUUGCUCGAGAAGCGCCGAUAUUGGGCAGCUGCCAUGAUGGGGCGCCACCUUAGAGGGUUGAGACGAACAAAUCGACUCCAGCACUUAAUUAUUAAAGUCUGAUGUUCAUUCUAUCGGUCACAUUUGCCGAACCGCUAACUUGCAAGUUCUUAUCAGGAAUGUUGCAAACCAAAUGCAAAACCGAUAUAUACCGACUUAGAUUUGAAUUCAAAACAUGGCAGUUAAGGAGUAUGUCAAUAAUUCCAUAUGCAACAGGAACAAACGGAAUGGUAAACAACAAUUUCUGUAACGUCGUUUCAGAAAGACGAUAGGUUUCCAAUAAAGAUAGAGACAGGUUCCAUAAAAUAGCAAUGCUUGAAACAUUUAUAGGCAUUUUUUUUUCCAAGAUGUACCUAAAUCUUUUUGAUGUAAGAUAGGG
Long non-coding RNA from Octopus bimaculoides (California two-spot octopus), 550 nucleotides. The record is from RefSeq and is a predicted model, not a curated record. NCBI's taxonomy places the organism in Eukaryota, Metazoa, Mollusca, Cephalopoda, Octopoda, Octopodidae.